CCUANGGGGGGCUGCAGUAACGAAUAUUGGGCAAUGCACGCAAGUGUGACCCAGCGACGCCGCGUGUGGGACGAAGUCCUUCGGGAUGUAAACCACUGUCAGGGGCAAGAAAGUUCUGAUCUGCCCCAGAGGAAGGCACGGCUAACUCUGUGCCAGCAGCCGCGGUAAGACAGAGGUGCCAAGCGUUAGGCGGAAUCACUGGGCUUAAAGCGUGUGUAGGCGGAACGUUAAGUGCCUUGUGAAAUCCCACGGCUCAACCGUGGAACUGCUUGGCAUACUGGCGUUCUUGAGCUGCCUAGGGGUCACUGGAACAAACGGUGGAGCGGUGAAAUGCGUAGAUAGCGUUUGGAACGCCCAAGGUGAAAACAGGUGACUGGGGGCAAGCUGACGCUGAGACACGAAAGCCAGGGGAGCAAACGGGAUUAGAUACCCCGNUANUC
RNAcentral lists this ribosomal RNA (440 nucleotides) under uncultured bacterium. RNAcentral's name for it is "bacterial SSU rRNA". It matches the Rfam family "Bacterial small subunit ribosomal RNA", at positions 338 to 795 of the family's 1533-position model. The record is from RNAcentral.